CCUACGGGUGGCAGCAGUGGGGAAUAUUGCACAAUGGGGGAAACCCUGAUGCAGCGACGCCGCGUGAGUGAAGAAGUAAUUCGUUAUGUAAAGCUCUAUCAGCAGGGAAGAAAAUGACGGUACCUUAGUAAGAAGCCCCGGUUAACUACGUGCCAGCAGCCGCGGUAAUACGUAGGGGGCAAGCGUUAUCCGGAUUUACUGGGUGUAAAGGGAGCGUAGACGGCAGUGCAAGUCCGGAGUGAAAGGCGGGGGCUCAACCCCCGGACUGCUCUGGAAACUGUACGGCUGGAGUGCAGGAGAGGUAAGUGGAAUUCCUAGUGUAGCGGUGAAAUGCGUAGAUAUUAGGAGGAACACCAGUGGCGAAGGCGGCUUACUGGACUGUAACUGACGUUGAGGCUCGAAAGCGUGGGGAGCGAACAGGAUUAGAUACCCGUGUAGUC
Molecule: ribosomal RNA, 440 nt
Filed under: uncultured bacterium
Lineage: Bacteria
Description: partial 16S ribosomal RNA
Rfam family: Bacterial small subunit ribosomal RNA
Source: RNAcentral